CAAUAGCGUAUAUUAAAGUUGUUGCAGUUAAAAAGCUCGUAGUUGGAUUUCUGGUGGGAGCGAUCGGUCUGGCGCUUAGCGCGAGUACUUGCAUCGUCUCCGGCCAUCCUUGGGGAGAGUCUGUCUGGCAUUAGGUUGUCGGGCAGAGGAUCCUCAUCGUUUACUGUGAAAAAAUUAGAGUGUUCAAAGCAGGCUUAUGCCGUUGAAUAUAUUAGCAUGGAAUAAUAAGAUAGGACUUUGGUACUAUUUUGUUGGUUUGCGCACCAAAGUAAGGAUUAAUAGGGACAGUUGGGGGUAUUCGUAUUCCGUUGUCAGAGGUGAAAUUCUUGGAUUUACGGAAGACGAACUACUGCGAAAGCAUUUACCAAGGAUGUUUUCAUUAA
Molecule: ribosomal RNA, 383 nt
Filed under: uncultured eukaryote
Lineage: Eukaryota
Description: partial 18S ribosomal RNA
Rfam family: Eukaryotic small subunit ribosomal RNA
Source: RNAcentral